Molecule: non-coding RNA, 184 nt
Filed under: Photobacterium profundum
Lineage: Bacteria; Pseudomonadati; Pseudomonadota; Gammaproteobacteria; Vibrionales; Vibrionaceae
Also listed under: 1 other name
Description: Lysine sequence
Rfam family: Lysine riboswitch aptamer
About the family: Riboswitches are metabolite binding domains within certain messenger RNAs that serve as precision sensors for their corresponding targets. Allosteric rearrangement of mRNA structure is mediated by ligand binding, and this results in modulation of gene expression.
Source: RNAcentral
ACUAAGGGUAGAGGCGCAUUGUCUAUAAGUAACAAGCUGGAGGGUGAUUCCUAUGAUUGCUUGUGAAAGGAGCCAAUGCCGAAGUAAGAAGGCGUUAAUCGAACGUUCUUGCUGGGGUUGUAUCGAAUAGGUGCAACACUGCCAUAGUAUAUAAUUACAUUAACUAUGGAGCGCUACUGUGAGG